Molecule: ribosomal RNA, 498 nt
Filed under: uncultured bacterium
Lineage: Bacteria
Description: bacterial SSU rRNA
Rfam family: Bacterial small subunit ribosomal RNA
Source: RNAcentral
GGCUAACGCUGGCGGCGUGUCUUAGCCAUGCAAGUCGAGCGGACUUAUGGGGUAACUUAUAAGUCAGCGGCGGACGGCGGAGUAACACGUAGCUAACCUACCCUCUGGACGGGGAUAACCUACCGAAAGGUGGGCUAAUACCCGAUGUAGUCAUCCUGUAUAGGGGUGAUGAAAGGUGGGCUUCUGUUUACAAGCUCAUGCUGGAGGAGGGGGCUGCGGCCUGUCAGGUAGUUGGUAGGGUAAUAGCCUACCAAGCCGAUGACGGGUAGCCGGCCUGAGAGGGUGACCGGCCCGAGGGGCACUGAGAUACGGGUCCCACUCCUACGGGAGGCGGCAGGCUAGAAAUUUGGGCAAUGGGGGAAACCCUGACCCAGUGACGCCGCGUGCAGGAAGGAGCCCUUCGGGGUGUAAACUGCUGUCGUGUAGGGAGAAGGGUACUAAGGUGAACAAUCUUAGUACUUGACGGUACUACAGGAGGAAGCCCAGGCUAACCUCGUG